GUCAGAUACACUUUAUUAUCUCAAGCAAUUGCACAAAAGGAGAGAGUGCUCUAGGACACAGGGUUUCCCCCACCUAGUCAGGUCUCUCUAAAGAUAAACAAUUAGAGCAAGUAUUUAUACCUUUAUUACAGACAAUAAUAAGCAACAGCUGCAUAUUGUUUAUACAUAGUCCUUCAUGAUAUCUUAUUUUUCUCAAUUUCUCUUAUAGUCUACAUUCAAUUCUUAUCUAAUACCAGGUCACAACAGCCUCUUUCACAAUUCUUUUCCACUCACUUCGCACUAUCCCCACUUCUACAAAUCUUGCGUUAUUAAAGCUAGAGUUAGCCUGACUCCUGCUCGUUUCAGAGCCCUGCAUCCAAAUUCCCUUUAUCUACUUCCACAGACUUGUACCCUGAAAUGGUUUGCGUUGCUUUUAUCUCACAGGCAGACUGUGUACAACUUGGCCAGAGGGCUGAGUCACUGAAGACCCACCACAAACAGAGAGAGAGAGAGAGAGAGAGAGAGAGAGAGAGAGAGUUCAGGCAAAUACACUUGACCAGGGGUGCUCGCAAGAGUUGUCUCAGAGAAGCAUAUUAAUGAACUGUGUCAACUGGACAAUAUAAAAAUAUUGUACCUUGUAUGCAGAAUGUUAUUGUUAAAGGAUUGAGGCAGCAACAAGACCCCUUACAGAACAAUGAGAACAAAAAGAAGAGCUUGAAGAAAAGUUAUUGUGAUAGCCUGUAUCUACAGCUGAUGAGCAAUUGGCAGACUGACUCUAAAAAGACACAUAGCCAAGGGACAGUGAAUUGAUUUUUCCAGGGUUAAAACCCAAUUUCAACCACAGACAGCACAUUUCAUAUUUCUCCCUUACCACCCCCCCCCCCCCACCAGGCAGCAAUCAUUAACUUUCAGGUCUAAUUGCAAACAUUUUCUAGUAUAUGAGCUUUGCAACACUGCAGCAUGUCUUUCACUGGGUUAGUUACAGUCAGAGUGAGUGCACCAUAGAACUGUGGAAUAAUGUGUUUUAGAAGAACAAAGCCUGAGAAGGCCACCUGGAAAGCAAAUAACCUUGUCAGAGUACAAGUGCAAAUAAAAUUAAGGUAAUGAAAGAUUCUCUCCCUUCUUCUUCAUGCUUAAUACAGAAAGCCUUCUUGGUGCUUCAUGUAGGCCUACCAUUUUCCCAUCCUGCAUGGGCUGAUUGGUUUCAACCACCACUGAAGUCAGCUUUCAAGAAGUAGUCAGCAUUGUCCAAGAUCAAGCUCCGUCUUUUUAAAUGAAAAGGCAGCCUGAGCUCAUUUUCCAAGGCAUGUGAAGAUGUGCACCAUCAGUUGCUCAGAGGUAGGUCAAACUAUCAGUAUCUGAAACUCAAGCUUCAGUUCUCACUCCCUCACAUCAUCUCCAAGACUGAUGGACCAAUGUUACUGUAAAAUGGCUUCUUUUUGAAUAUUGCUCUUCUUUCAUCAACUGCUUUUUGUUCCUGAUCCUAGGAAAGUUUGACAUUUUUCAGCUGCACAAAGGCCAAAUUUUCCAAAUGCAAGAGCUUAAACUGCAGCUGCAAAAUCUGGGUAUACAUGAAUUGCAUGCAAACAACCUGCAUUUGUAGCAAAUUGUGUAAUUACAAAUGCAAAUAGUACUUGCACAUGCAAUUACCAGAUUUUCAUUUGCAUAUGAAGGCUCUGCAGGUGUAAAUCAUCUGUAUUUUUAAGGUUUAGUAUAAUGGAUUUGUUUUAAAUGGACAAGAACAGUAAGACUGAAAAAAAUCAUGGAGGCAAGGAAUUACAGCUAAUGUCUGGGCUUUAUUCAGAGUUGUAGGCAAAUUUACACAUCAUUCUAGAGGCACUAAUAGCCCAACACCGGAGAUGAAGUAAAAUGAGAUAAAGGUAUAGUACCUGAGUCCUUCCCAGAUUUUGUGUGAUUAAGGAAGUCCCUCAUUAUUUGUAAUAGCUUUUUGUAUUGAGAUAGGAGAUUGUUGCUUACCACGAAUAGACAUUUUAAUGAAUAAUUACAUGAUUAAAAGGUAA
Molecule: long non-coding RNA, 2000 nt
Organism: Dermochelys coriacea (leatherback sea turtle)
Lineage: Eukaryota; Metazoa; Chordata; Testudines; Dermochelyidae
Exons: 2
Source: RefSeq, a predicted model, not a curated record